RNAcentral lists this ribosomal RNA (495 nucleotides) under uncultured bacterium. RNAcentral's name for it is "partial 16S ribosomal RNA". It matches the Rfam family "Bacterial small subunit ribosomal RNA", at positions 30 to 507 of the family's 1533-position model. The record is from RNAcentral.
UGAACGCUGGCGGCGUGCCUACUACAUGCAAGUCGAGCGACCAGACGAGGAGCUUGCUCCUCUGACGUUAGCGGCGGGCGGGUGAGUAACACGUGGAUAACCUACCUAUAAGACUGGGAUAACUUCGGGAAACCGGAGCUAAUACCGGAUAAUAUAUUGAACCGCAUGGUUCAAUAGUGAAAGACGGUUUUGCUGUCACUUAUAGAUGGAUCCGCGCCGCAUUAGCUAGUUGGUAAGGUAACGGCUUACCAAGGCAACGAUGCGUAGCCGACCUGAGAGGGUGAUCGGCCACACUGGAACUGAGACACGGUCCAGACUCCUACGGGAGGCAGCAGUAGGGAAUCUUCCGCAAUGGGCGAAAGCCUGACGGAGCAACGCCGCGUGAGUGAUGAAGGUCUUCGGAUCGUAAAACUCUGUUAUUAGGGAAGAACAAAUGUGUAAGUAACUAUGCACGUCUUGACGGUACCUAAUCAGAAAGCCACGGCUAACUACGUG